CUACGGGGCGCAGCAGUGAGGAAUAUUGGUCAAUGGGCGCAAGCCUGAACCAGCCAUCCCGCGUGGAGGAAGACGGCCCUAUGGGUUGUAAACUCCUUUUAUAAGGGAAGAAUAUAUGUAUCGUGAUAUGUACUGACGGUACCUUAUGAAUAAGCAUCGGCUAACUCCGUGCCAGCAGCCGCGGUAAUACGGAGGAUGCAAGCGUUAUCCGGAUUCAUUGGGUUUAAAGGGUGCGCAGGCGGACUAAUCAGUCAGUGGUGAAAUCUUACGGCUUAACCGUGAAACUGCCAUUGAUACUGUUAGUCUUGAGUACGGUUGAGGUAGGCGGAAUGUGUAAUGUAGCGGUGAAAUGCUUAGAUAUUACACAGAACACCAAUUGCGUAGGCAGCUUACUAGACCGUAACUGACGCUGAGGCACGAAAGCGUGGGUAGCGAACAGGAUUAGAUACCCGGGUAGUC
RNAcentral lists this ribosomal RNA (459 nucleotides) under uncultured bacterium. RNAcentral's name for it is "partial 16S ribosomal RNA". It matches the Rfam family "Bacterial small subunit ribosomal RNA", at positions 339 to 795 of the family's 1533-position model. The record is from RNAcentral.